AAAUAAAUAAGCCAAUUUUUCACACUGCAAUCACACACCUAAUAUUACACAUCAAUUUUCAAUUAUUCCGAUCUACAAGGCCGUUCCAAAUUGAUCAAAGCAGGAAGUAAAAGAGAAAAACAUUGUUGAAACAAACAAAAAGUGAGAUGUUGUAUCCACACCUCACCCAACCACACUUCUGUUCGUUCUCUUGCAAAAACUGUAUAUAUUCAACAGCCUACAAUAGAAAAUGGUGUCAAAAAAACCAGCUUAAUAAAAUGGGCUGCAACAUAUAAUCAAUAACCUUCUAGGUUUGUUCCUUGUUUGUUUUAUGAUACCCAGAACCAAGUUAUUUAUGUGCAUCUCUAGUUAGAACCCAACCGAAACUAAUACAAUAUCUGAGGUGAAAAAAAACAAAAAAAAUUAAUAGACAAAAAAAUUUAGCAGGAUUACGCACCACAUCCCAAGUGUUGCAUGUUGGAAAAGGGUAAUCAUUAAGACUUCAAGGUCGGCCCAUCAGGAAUGAAAGCCUGCAUAAAUGGACAAAUUCUGUAAUAGAACAUCAAUAUUCAGAGGACUAUUAACUAAGACCCCAGGGAGCAUUUUGAAGCAAGGAAAAUAUCAAUGACAGAUUGAUUAACAUGGUUGUACCAUUUUUAGGCUCGACCUCUUAUAUGAAGUAUCUUAUACUCCCUUGCAUCAUAGCCUAUAUGAGAUAACAACUGGGACACUACAAAGAAUUACUACUCAAGCUGACAGACCAAAAGCUAAUUGAAAUAUGCGAUUUCAUAAUCUGCUCCAUUCGCCAAAGAAGGAAAAGCAAACAAUGGACUAUAUCAAUAAAUCUUAUAAUAGUUGUAUUUGAUGAUAGCUAAGAACUACUUAAAUUAGCACAAUGAAUUUAGAUGGUCAAAUCUCCAACUUGCUAGUUCUCUCUUUUGGUUGUCAAUAGAUCUAAAAGAUUGCCAGAAUUCACCAACAAUUGCAUGUCCAAGUAGUGUAAAAAUCCUAACUCCGCUUAGCCAGGUUAUACAUGUAGUUCCUAGACUGUAUCACCCUGAGUUAAAGAAUUAUAAACAACAAAUACGUUAUAUGCCAGUGUGUGCGUGUGUUGCUAGCUAGUCGAUCAAUAGAAUCCACCUGCUAUUCGAUCAAUCAAUCCACCAAUUUUAUCCAUCUCAAGGCAAAGCUAGUUAGCAACGUACGUUCUUGGCUGAUUCAAUCCAUCUCAAGGCAAGUGAGGUUCGCUAUGUGUUUGUUUCGCCAUCGACCGAAAACACUGGCUAGGCGAAUAUUGGUUUCACGGCAUGAAGACGACGAUAGUGAAGGAAGGGAUCAAGAUCCAUACACCUGUGCCAGCAGUGUCCUUGACGGAGCCAAAUGGCGUCAAGUCGGAGCUGUCGGCCUUCCACGCGUUAUCAGCUCCGUUGCACAUGUCUUGAAACAUUAAAUUAAUAAAGACAAGGAGCUAGUAAGCCUUGUCCAGGUUCAUAACUAUUAGGGAUGUUUUUCAAUUCAUGAAUUAUUGAUAUACAGUUCUCUCAAAGUAUAUUUUUUACAAUGAUUUUAAGCCAUCGGACCUAUGUUAUAUAUUUGUGUCAGAACAUAAAAAUGCUAAGAAUCAUUUACUCUCCACUUGAUCUACACAAUCAUUGCUCCUCCACUGUAAUCUACUAUAAUCUGCACUAAAUUGAUCUCACAACACAACUCGAAAGUCAAAACGCCAAAUGAAUCAUGGUUGUGUCAAAGGACAAGGCAAGCCAGAUCUGAAUAAAGGACAAGGACUGCAUAGCUUACCAUAAAUUCUGAAAUGCAAGAGCAACACUUGCCGUAAAAAAUUGGAACAUGAGUAAAACUAAGGAGAGGAUCGGGACCAACGCACGUGUAACACCGCGUACUGAAGUCCGGGUUAUGGUCCUCCCUGCUGCACAUGCCGUCGCCACAGUCACCGCCGUCUGCCUGCAAUGAUGAUGACGCGCCGAUUCCUCGUAAUGGGAGAACCUUGCCAUGGGUGUUUCAUGCUACCAUAGACUCGAAUCGCGGAGGAAGAUGACUACUACGGGAUUAGAAUUUUUGUCUAAAAGGACCAUCUCUCGAAAUGAUUUGCUAAAAAAGACCACAUGCGGUACCUAAAGACAAAAAAGACCCCCUCUUUGCAUGGCGACAGGCGCGCCAGGCGACACGUGGCACCUGCCGCUACCAGCCGAGGCGGUUGGGGCCUACCACCACGGCGCCAGGCGG
This 2220-nucleotide long non-coding RNA is filed under the name Hordeum vulgare. Its description in RNAcentral is "long non-coding RNA (HVUL_LNC000454)". Lineage: Eukaryota; Viridiplantae; Streptophyta; Magnoliopsida; Poales; Poaceae. The record is from RNAcentral.